CGCCAGAUGGGGCGGGAGGAGGGGAGACCCGGCACCCACCGGCCCAGAGCUGCCUGACGCGGCCUGGGCGGACCCCGCCGCCCGGGUGCCUAGGCACGAUUCCAGGGAUCCAGGGUAAAGCGGUUCGCGCGGGAACAGGAGGAUAUGUCAGGCACAGGCUAUUCCCCAUCACUAUAGCCACAGAGGACUGGUCCAGAUGCGGAUCCCGAUCUGUGCUUCUUCAGGAGAGCUCUGCCAAGGUGGUAGCUGAGAAGGGAAAACCUGUACAAGAGUUGCUGAGAAUAUGCCUCGCUGCAGAGGAGAGGACAUGGAUGCAGGGAGCGGAUUCUUCCCCACCUCCUCCUUACCCCAAGGUGGUUGGAUACCAAGAAAGCUGCUCAGGAAACCUUACAACACAAUGGAAAAAGCAUUGGAGCUCCUGGUUAAGCCUUCAGACUCCAGGAGGCACACCAUUGGGCUCCUCAAGUUCUCACCCCUUUGGUCUCAGACUGAAUUAUACCACCAACUUCCCUGGUUCUCCACCUUGCAGAUGGCAGAUUGUGGAACUUCUUGGCCUCCAUAGUUGCAUGAAGCAAUUCUCAUAUUAAUUCGCCACUUACAUAUCUAUACAUAUUCUCUUGGGUCUGUUUCUCUGGAGAACCCUGACUUAUACAUGACCUUCAUGUAUAGCUAAAUAACAAUGUAUUAAUAUUUUCCACAGAGGUGUCAUGUCUCUGUAUAUUAAAUGAUCCAAGGCCAGGCGCGGUGGCUCACGCCUGUAAUCCC
Molecule: long non-coding RNA, 765 nt
Filed under: Homo sapiens (human)
Lineage: Eukaryota; Metazoa; Chordata; Mammalia; Primates; Hominidae
Description: HSALNT0146588
Source: RNAcentral